UAGUUAUAUGAUGAUUUUUUCCAUGCACCACUCUGAUUACUUUUGUGUUGAUUAUGGAUAUCUGACUUAUU
Non-coding RNA from Drosophila suzukii, 71 nucleotides. NCBI's taxonomy places the organism in Eukaryota, Metazoa, Arthropoda, Insecta, Diptera, Drosophilidae. The record is from RefSeq and is a predicted model, not a curated record.